This 473-nucleotide ribosomal RNA is filed under the name uncultured organism. RNAcentral describes it as "partial 16S ribosomal RNA". It matches the Rfam family "Bacterial small subunit ribosomal RNA", at positions 333 to 797 of the family's 1533-position model. The record is from RNAcentral.
ACACUCCUGCGGGAGGCAGCAGUGGGGAAUAUUGCACAAUGGGCGCAAGCCUGAUGCAGCCAUGCCGCGUGUAUGAAGAAGGCCUUCGGGUUGUAAAGUACUUUCAGCGGGGAGGAAGGCAAUACGGUUAAUAACCGUGUUGAUUGACGUUACCCGCAGAAGAAGCACCGGCUAACUCCGUGCCAGCAGCCGCGGUAAUACGGAGGGUGCAAGCGUUAAUCGGAAUUACUGGGCGUAAAGCGCACGCAGGCGGUCUGUCAAGUCGGAUGUGAAAUCCCCGGGCUCAACCUGGGAACUGCAUUCGAAACUGGCAGGCUUGAGUCUUGUAGAGGGGGGUAGAAUUCCAGGUGUAGCGGUGAAAUGCGUAGAGAUCUGGAGGAAUACCGGUGGCGAAGGCGGCCCCCUGGACAAAGACUGACGCUCAGGUGCGAAAGCGUGGGGAGCAAACAGGAUUAGAAACCCGAGUAGUCCCA